GAGAGAGAGAGUGGGAGGGAGAGAGAGAGAGAGAGAGAGAGAGAGAGAGAGAGAGAGAGAGAGUGGAGGGGAGAGAGAGAGAGAGUGGGAGGGAGAGAGAGAGAGAGGAGAGAGAGAGAGAGUGGGAGGGAGAGAGAGAAGCCAGCCAGAUUCAUUGAAGCGAAAUCUGGCUGAGGCAAAGCGAAGCGGUAAACCAGCUGAGCGAACAUUCCCCAAAAGGAACAUACAAAUAGAGAGGAGAGGGUGAGAGAGAGGAGAGGGUGAGGGAGAAGGAGAGGGGGAGAGGAGAGAGAGAGGAGAGAUGAUGGGAGGUGAAAGAAGGGUGUAGCUGGAGAGAUUUGAAAAGAGGGCAGAAGCAGAAGAACGACGCACUCUGCGCCCUCACUGCCAAUCAGUCUUUAAGGAGGACGGUUGGGGUUCCUCUUUAAUGGCCACACACACACACACACACACACACACACACACACACACACACACACACACACACACACACACACACACACACACACACACACGCCCCUCUUUUUAAAAAGCUGCCUCGCCUGCGCCCUGUUUUUUAUAGCAGUGCAUGAAAACUGUUAUAAAAACACAUUUGGUAUAUUAGAGGACACACACACAUUAUUCAGAGCAUCACAGCUGCUUUUUGAAUCAGAACAAACAUGAUGAAUUGAUUAGACAGGUAAAUAAAAAAUAAUAAAAACAGGAACAGAUCUGCUGUUAAGUGACGAUGUUUUCUCCAAAGCGCUGCGGAUGCGUACAGAAUGAGAUUUCAGACCCUAACUUUAUUCCUCCGUCGCUCCUUUUGAAAGAGCUAUGUAGCCAUGGUAAUGGAGGAGGGGGAGGUGGUAAAAAAGGCGUAACAUGGGGGGGACCCCCAUGACGGUGACACGGGAAGAGGGGGGGCCGGUGAUGCUGUCUCACGGCCACCUCCCCCCAUCGGCCACAACUCAACACUCAAGUCUCAGAAGAUUGAAAAAAAGAAAGAAAGAGAAAAUCAACCGUUGUAAACUGGGAGUCCGCUCAGAUUGUCAAAGGGAUGUUUGAGACAAGACCACAUAGUGGGGGUGGGGGGGGGGGUCACCCCCAUAUAAAACAGCAGAGCCCAGGGGAAGACGUAGAGAGUAACACAGACCCCGCUUAGGUGGAAGGAUUCUACAGUAAGUUUUGGUGAUGGCUAUCCCUAAAGAGUAAAGGUUUCAGGCUGGCUGGAAAGUGGAUAUUCACAAUAAAAGUUGUAAAGAAGAAGAAGCGCUAAUUCGGACAGAUGCUACCGUCGAUGCUAACACCAUAUUAUAUAUACAGAAAGUAUCGGCUGAUAGCA
Molecule: long non-coding RNA, 1321 nt
Organism: Gadus macrocephalus (Pacific cod)
Lineage: Eukaryota; Metazoa; Chordata; Actinopteri; Gadiformes; Gadidae
Exons: 2
Source: RefSeq, a predicted model, not a curated record